Molecule: ribosomal RNA, 254 nt
Filed under: uncultured bacterium
Lineage: Bacteria
Description: partial 16S ribosomal RNA
Rfam family: Bacterial small subunit ribosomal RNA
Source: RNAcentral
UACGUAGGGUGCAAGCGUUGUCCGGAAUUAUUGGGCGUAAAGAGCUCGUAGGCGGUUUGUCGCGUCGGCUGUGAAAAACCUGAGGCUCAACCUCGGGCCUGCAGUCGAUACGGGCAAACUAGAGUUCGGUAGGGGAGACUGGAAUUCCUGGUGUAGCGGUGGAAUGCGCAGAUAUCAGGAGGAACACCGGUGGCGAAGGCGGGUCUCUGGGCCGAAACUGACGCUGAGGAGCGAAAGCGUGGGGAGCGAACAGG